AUUACAUAUUUCACUAACCUUCUCAAAACUUCAUCAGAUGACAGUCCUAUAACAUCAUAUUACACAAUACAUAUAUUGUUUGUUCGAAAAUGUGCAUAUUUAGCGGCACAAAUCGUGGUUAUACAAUGAGAAUAGUAGCCAAGCUGCCAACAAAAUGUCGGGAGAAAUCUUGGGAGAGGCACCUAAUCUAAUCAAUAACUAAUCAUAAACUUGACAAAAAAAUACAGGUUGGACAGCAAAUGAAAGAUACAUUAGUUCUUAAUGCAACCGCUGUGUUAGAUUUUUUUAAAUGAACGUUACUACGACAUACAGCGUGCGUUAAAGCGAGACCGCACCGAAAUUCAUGGCGGAAUAGUAGUGUAACAUUUUUCAACAGAACAACGAAUUAACAUCAUAAAUAGUUCUUACUUUUUGAUGAGCUUCCAUCAGAAUCUUGUGCAAGUUGUUCUUUGUCCAGAAUCAUCGUUGCUCGGUUGUAGAUUGUCGUCUUCAACUUAGGAAUUAGCAGCAAACAUUAGCUAUGUGGCCCAGACGUGUCCAACUCUUCAUAACGCAGCACAAAGAAAAUUCAGAAAAUCGCAAUAUACUGAUAUAAACUGAUAUAACUCGGUUUAAAAUUAUUAUUUCCCUUUUUACCUGGCACACUGCCUGCCCUCCAGGACACCUACAGCAUCUGAUGUUACAGAAAGGCCAAAAAGAUCAUCAAGGACAUCAACCACCCGAGCCACGGCCUGUUCACCCCUCUAUCAUCCAGAAAGCAAGAUCAGUACAGGUGCAUCAAAGCUGGGACCGAGAGACUGAAAAACAGCUUCUAUCUCAAGGCCAUCAGACUGUUAAAUAGCCAUCACUAGCCGGCUACCACCCGGCUACUCAACCCUGCACCUUAGAGGCUGCUGCCUAAUGUACAUAGACAUGGAACACUAGUCACUUUAAUAAUGUUUACAUGCUGCUUUACUCAUCUCAUUAUGUAUAUACUUUAUUCUAUUCUACUGUAUUUAGUCAAUGCCACUCUGCCAUUGCUCGUCCUAAUAUUUCUAUAUUUCUUAAUUCCAUUCUUUUACUUUUAGAUUUGUGUAUUGUUGGGAAUUGUUAAGAUACUACUGCCCUGUUGGAGCUAGAAACACAAGCAUUUUGCUACACCCGCAAUAACAACUGCUAAAUAUGUGACCAAUAAAAUUUGAUUUAUCAGCAGGAACAUGGAGCACUCCAUGCCAGUAAGUCAUGAUAUUUUUUUCCCUAUAGAUUGCACUAAACUAUUUCAAAAGCUAAUACUGCACUCAUAUAAGAAGUGGAGAAGCCCUAUGCAUCAUACAAUAGUCUACUCCUGGAGUAACUCCCUGUCAGUGUCACACCCUGAUGUUUCACCUGUCUUUGUGAUUGUCUCCACCCCCUCUAGGUGUCACCCAUCUUCCCUGUGUAUUUAUACCGGUGUUCUCGGUUUGUCUGUUGCCAGUUUGUCAAGUCAACCAGCAUUUUUUUGCAUCAGCUCCUGCUUUUCCCCAGUCUCUUUUCUCAUCCUCCUGGUUUUGACCCUUGCCUGUCAUGACCCUGAGCCCGCUCGCCGGACCACUCUGCCGGCCCCUGAGCCUGCCUGCCAUCUUUUACCUUUGCCCCGUUUCUGGAUUACCAACCUCUGCCAGACCUGAGCCUGCCUGUCGUCCUGUACCUUUGCCCCCGUUGAAGUAACAAUGUUUAUUACAGCAACACGGUCUGCAUCUGGGUCUUACCUUUAUCCUGAUCGUCAGAGACUGUGAUUAGAGGGUUAGGGAGGAGGCCCUGGGCCAGUGGUAGGUCAGGGGUGAGGGCUCUUUCUUUCAAGCACACUCACUACCUCUUUCCGUCUCUCUCAAGGACCUCCAGAGCCUUCUGACCGACUACCUGCGAUCUCUCCAGAGCACAGAGAUAUGAGUAUGCUGGGCUAUGGAACUCUAGAGCAGCACGUACAAAAACGUGCCACCCUGUUGUCAGCUAUCCAAAGACUUCCAAUGGCCACAUUUUGUGGAUGACCAAAUGCAAUACAGUUUUGUAUAAACAAUUAAUUUUUUUAUUGUAAGAUUACAAAACUACUUUUUCAUAGCAUGUUGGUCUUCAAUUUGUACUAACUUUUGUGAUAAGUUAAACAUCAAGACAAAUCCACGUAGAGCUUGAGAUUUAAAGUGAACACAUUUUUAAUAAUCUCUCUCAUACAGGUGUCUCAACUAAAAUAUAUAUCUCAAACAAGAUUAAAGAAUGGGACAAAGUAAAUAUAAA
This is a long non-coding RNA of Salvelinus fontinalis (brook trout), 2250 nucleotides long. RefSeq lists it as uncharacterized. NCBI's taxonomy places the organism in Eukaryota, Metazoa, Chordata, Actinopteri, Salmoniformes, Salmonidae. The record is from RefSeq and is a predicted model, not a curated record. The transcript is spliced from 2 exons.